GUGCACCGUGACCUAAAACCAGCCAACAUCCUGCUGGACCGCAACUACGUAAGCAAGAUUAGUGACGUUGGGUUGGCCAGGCUGGUUCCCCCAUCUGUAGCUGACAAUGUGACCCAGUAUCGGAUGACAUCAACAGCUGGGACUUUCUGCUAUAUAGAUCCAGAGUAUCAGCAAACAGGCAUGCUGGGCAUAAAAUCUGAUGUCUACUCCCUUGGCAUCAUGCUUCUACAGAUAAUAACAGCCAAGCCACCAAUGGGGUUGACUCACCUUGUUGAAAGAGCUAUUGAAAAAGAUACAUUUGAAGAGAUGCUGGAUCCAGUUGUGCCUGAUUGGCCACUUGAAGAGGCAUUGAGCUUCGCCAAGAUAGCCCUCCAGUGUGCAGAACUAAGGCGGAAAGACAGACCUGAUCUUGGCAAGGCUGUGUUACCAGAACUCAACAGAUUGAGAGAGCUUUCAGAGGAACAUUUGGACCCAACUAUGAUGGGUGGCAGUCAGUACCACUCUACCAACCACAGCCAAGUUUCCUUCCGUCGGGUAAAUUCAUGUACAUUACAACAAACAUCAAUAAAUCAGAUACUACUAACAGUCUACUAACUUCGUAAAAAAUCUGCCAUACUGAUAAGCUUGCAAGGCCUAAGAAAAUUUCAUGUGAAUUUUGC
This 659-nucleotide long non-coding RNA is filed under the name Vitis vinifera (wine grape). RNAcentral describes it as "long non-coding RNA (VVIN_LNC000928)". The record is from RNAcentral. Lineage: Eukaryota; Viridiplantae; Streptophyta; Magnoliopsida; Vitales; Vitaceae.